GACUAUUGGCGCCGUGUCUUGCCAUUUGUGUGAGCUAUCUUACUUUGCCUUUCAAGUGCUUGCGAGAUGUUACCUGACUUAUGGGUAUUGGUGCUUCAUACAUAGUUGCCUCGUGGUGGACGCCUUUGGGUGUGCUGCUGCGGCCAUAUGGCGAUUGUGGCGUUGCCUCGUGGUGCUGGUUCUCGUGCCCGGUGCUAUCAAGGCAGCCUUGCUCUCGUUAAUGGUUUUGGAUGUCGCUCAUGAUAUAUAUCCUCGUGGCCCAUUUGGUUGCCUCGGGGCUUGACCCUAAGAACGCUCUCCGACUUUGAGAACAUCGUUGAACGAAUGUUGCCUCUACCUUUCCACAACAAAUGGAAGGAUUACGCAGCAGACUCGAGUCCGAUCCCCAAAUAAGUCGGACGAGCAAGACCCUAAGAAUGCUCUCUGACUUUGAGAACAUCGUUGAACGAAUGUUGCCUCUACCUUUCCACAGCAAGUGGCAAGGAUUACGCAGCAUACUCGAUUCCGAUCCCCAAAUAAGUCGGACGAGCUUGGCCCGCUCAACAGCGACAACC
This 554-nucleotide unclassified non-coding RNA is filed under the name Anthoxanthum ovatum. RNAcentral's name for it is "partial external transcribed spacer". The record is from RNAcentral. Lineage: Eukaryota; Viridiplantae; Streptophyta; Magnoliopsida; Poales; Poaceae.